GAGGAUCCCAAAAUUUGAUUUCCAAGGAGAGCAUGUAUUGAAAUGUAGUAAGAACUAGAUGCCAAAAGUUUAUGAAAAAUUUAUUUCAUUCCAGAUUAUUUUAUAUAGAGGGAGUGAACGAGAUGGACUAGAUGAAGUUUUUACCAUAUAACCCCCUUCCUCCUCCCUCCGAAAGGACGCAGCAUAUUUUAACUAAAAGACCUGGGAGAGGGAGAAGCCCAGAUCCAUUGUAAUUCAGUACGGAAAGUGAGUUGAUGCUUAGAACACAUGAGUGGUUGCGAAUACAGAAGACUCAUGAAGUUAUCCAAGAAAAAGGCCUGGAUGCAGUGAGGAACAGCACAAAGGACACUCCUAACCACUGUUCCAUCAAUUUAUACAACCUCAGAUUGGACAAGGAGAACCUUGUCCUCGUGUCAGCAGUUAGGCUAUGCAGAACAGAACAAUUUAGCUUUUGGGGGAAAGGGGGUCAUAGUAAGAUACUGAAUGUCUUCAGUCAAAAAAGUACCAAGAAUUUGCUAAUGCUGAUUGACAGCAAAUCUGUUUGUGUUGGUUAGAGGAAGCUUUAAAGAUGAAAAAUCAAGCUCUGUAUGCAUGACAUGUAGCACAAAUGCAGGACAACCAGAUAUUACCAAUUGUUUUUCCUAGAGUACUGAUGUCAGUAUGGCUGGAACUGCUGUAUGGUUGGGGAUCAAUGUAAUUUAAAGCUAGAUGAACAAUUCUGCAAGUAACUGAUGCAUUUGUGGAUCUUUAGCUUUUCAAAACCACGCAGAGAGAUAAUAUAUUAGGAGGAGGGAAGGGGAGAAAUUAAUUUGCAGAAACUCCAGGCUCGAGAUAUAUACCCGUGAAGCUUGAGAAAAUAGCUUUCCAUGGCUCAGCUGAGUUUCUGUUUAAUUGCUUAGCCAGAUAUGACCUUGCACAGCUUCCACUGCAGAUCUUUUGUGGUAAGCACAAACCAUAACAACCCCAUUCUCUAAUCUCUCACUCACUGAUGCUGCCCUUAGACAAACAAACAAACAAAAUGCAUCUCUGACAGUAUCUGAUUGAGAAAAGACUGUGUAUGGGGAAUAAAAACAUUUGAGUCACAGGAAAUGAUUUCAUAA
Molecule: long non-coding RNA, 1100 nt
Organism: Mauremys mutica (yellowpond turtle)
Lineage: Eukaryota; Metazoa; Chordata; Testudines; Geoemydidae
Exons: 3
Source: RefSeq, a predicted model, not a curated record